Molecule: ribosomal RNA, 451 nt
Filed under: uncultured bacterium
Lineage: Bacteria
Description: partial 16S ribosomal RNA
Rfam family: Bacterial small subunit ribosomal RNA
Source: RNAcentral
AACGAACGCUGGCGGCAGGCUCAACACAUGCAAGUCGAACGGGUGUAGCAAUACAUCAGUGGCAGACGGGUGAGUAACACGUGGGAACCUUCCUAGGGGUACGGAACAACUCAGGGAAACUUGAGCUAAUACCGUAUACGUCCGUGAGGAGAAAGAUUUAUCGCCCUUAGACGGGCCCGCGUCGGAUUAGCUAGUUGGUGGGGUAACGGCCUACCAAGGCGACGAUCCGUAGCUGAUCUUAGAGGAUGAUCAGCCACACUGGGACUGAGACACGGCCCAGACUCCUACGGGAGGCAGCAGUGGGGAAUCUUGGACAAUGGGCGCAAGCCUGAUCCAGCCAUGCCGCGUGAGUGAAGAAGGUCUUCGGAUUGUAAAGCUCUUCUGCCAGGGACGAUAAUGACGGUACCUGGAGAAUAAGCCCCGGCAAACUUCGUGCCAGCCGCCGCCGUAA